GGAGAGGUGUCCGAGGUGGCCGAAGGAGCACGAUUGGAAAUCGUGUGUUGGCUAAUCCCAACCGAGGGUUCGAAUCCCUCCCUCUCCGCCA
RNAcentral lists this transfer RNA (91 nucleotides) under Desulfovibrio sp. RNAcentral describes it as "tRNA-Ser". It matches the Rfam family "tRNA". Rfam says of the family: Transfer RNA (tRNA) molecules are approximately 80 nucleotides in length. The record is from RNAcentral. Lineage: Bacteria; Pseudomonadati; Thermodesulfobacteriota; Desulfovibrionia; Desulfovibrionales; Desulfovibrionaceae.